This 480-nucleotide ribosomal RNA is filed under the name uncultured bacterium. Its description in RNAcentral is "partial 16S ribosomal RNA". It matches the Rfam family "Bacterial small subunit ribosomal RNA", at positions 29 to 523 of the family's 1533-position model. The record is from RNAcentral.
AAUGAACGUUGGCGGCGUGGAUUAGGCAUGCAAGUCGUACGAGAAUCGUAGCAAUACGAGGAAUGUGGCGGAAGGGAGAGGAUUACGUGGGAAUCUACCCUCAGAACUGGGAUAGCGGCGGGAAACUGCCGGUAAUACCAGAUAAUGUCUGUGGACCAAAGGUGCGAUUCCGUCUGGGGAUGAGCCCACGUCCUAUUAGCUAGUUGGCAGGGUAAUGGCCUACCAAGGCAAUGAUGGGUAGCGGGUGUGAGAGCAUGACCCGCCUCACUGGGACUGAGAACUGCCCAGACACCUACGGGUGGCUGCAGUCGAGAAUCUUCGGCAAUGAGCGCAAGCUUGACCGAGCGACGCCGCGUGCGGGAUGAAGGCCUUCGGGUUGUAAACCGCUGUCGUAGGGGAGCAAGAGAUGAGGGUACUCCCUCUGAUUUGAGCGAUCCUAGGAGGAAAGACGGGCUAAGUUCGUGCCAGCCGCCGCCGUAA